RNAcentral lists this ribosomal RNA (531 nucleotides) under Streptomyces sp. 64(2010). RNAcentral's name for it is "bacterial SSU rRNA". It matches the Rfam family "Bacterial small subunit ribosomal RNA", at positions 56 to 604 of the family's 1533-position model. Lineage: Bacteria; Bacillati; Actinomycetota; Actinomycetes; Kitasatosporales; Streptomycetaceae. The record is from RNAcentral.
UGCAGUCGAACGAUGAACCACUUCGGUGGGGAUUAGUGGCGAACGGGUGAGUAACACGUGGGCAAUCUGCCCUGCACUCUGGGACAAGCCCUGGAAACGGGGUCUAAUACCGGAUACUGACCCGCUUGGGCAUCCAAGCGGUUCGAAAGCUCCGGCGGUGCAGGAUGAGCCCGCGGCCUAUCAGCUUGUUGGUGAGGUAAUGGCUCACCAAGGCGACGACGGGUAGCCGGCCUGAGAGGGCGACCGGCCACACUGGGACUGAGACACGGCCCAGACUCCUACGGGAGGCAGCAGUGGGGAAUAUUGCACAAUGGGCGAAAGCCUGAUGCAGCGACGCCGCGUGAGGGAUGACGGCCUUCGGGUUGUAAACCUCUUUCAGCAGGGAAGAAGCGAAAGUGACGGUACCUGCAGAAGAAGCGCCGGCUAACUACGUGCCAGCAGCCGCGGUAAUACGUAGGGCGCGAGCGUUGUCCGGAAUUAUUGGGCGUAAAGAGCUCGUAGGCGGCUUGUCACGUCGGUUGUGAAAGCCCG